Molecule: long non-coding RNA, 841 nt
Organism: Mauremys reevesii (Reeves's turtle)
Lineage: Eukaryota; Metazoa; Chordata; Testudines; Geoemydidae
Exons: 4
Source: RefSeq, a predicted model, not a curated record
GGGUGAGCUGUGAAGGAACAAAGCCUUGUUUAAGUGAAAAGAUAUUUGAUAAUUAUUGAAAGUGACAAGGAAAUAACUAAUAACUGUGAAGGAUAAAUAGAUCUUUUCUUAGGGGAUCAACAUUGGAGUGGGGAAGCCACCAGUUUUGACAGAUGUCAUCACAGGUUUCAAAGUCAAAUGGUUAUGUUGUUCUACCUCAUCUUGUGGUAUCACCAUGGAGAAGAGAAGGCACAGGCAAGAAAGGAUUGUUAAAAUGGAAACAUUGCAAAGUAAACUAGUCCGUUCUUCAGCUGAAUUACUCUGGGUGUACACCAGUAUAACAAGGAUCAGAAUCGGGUCCAGUAUGGCUAGACAUGCAAAGAUUUAUGAGACUCAUCAUAGCAAACGCUAAUACUGAAGAAUUUCCAUCUGGAACACAUUGAAAAUAAAAAAGAAACAAGACAGUAAACAGCAUUAAAGAAGAAAUACAAAUGACACAUAGGGUAUAGUACUCUCCUCUGCCAUAAUGUGAAUGAUGAUGUAUUUUUCUCUGAAAAGCAAUAAUCUUUCUUUAAGGAAAGGUGGAUUUUACUUAGAAUCUUAAUCUACAUUGUUAUUGAUUUGGUUUUGGAGUGGGGAGAGGAGGAGGAGUAGGAAGAAUAAAACAAUGUAAAAUGUAUUUGGUUACACUGCCAGAAGUUGGGGAAGGCGUUCUGAUAUUUAACCAUUUCAUUGCUGCUGAAUUGCGAGGUGUAGCGGGCAAAACACCUUUCUAAAGCUGCGUCACGUACCUCACUGUUGAACUGGCAACGGUCCAGUGGAAUGUUUCCACUUAGCUGGGACACUGAGGAGGGGUCGAUAG